This is a non-coding RNA of Bombina bombina (fire-bellied toad), 465 nucleotides long. The record is from the annotation of a RefSeq genome assembly. Lineage: Eukaryota; Metazoa; Chordata; Amphibia; Anura; Bombinatoridae.
AUGGAAGGGGAGAGCAUCAAUGAUCUAUGUCUGACCAGACAAAUGAAGAUGAUUUGUUUUCUGCUCUGUGUAUUUUUGCUCUCUUUACAAGGCUCCUGUGGACAGAUUGUGAUGACUCAGUCUCCAGAUUCUAACACUGUGUCACCAGGAGAAAGUGUCACCAUCAAAUGUACAUCAAGUACUAGUUUAGUUAGUGGUGUUAACAGCUACUUAGCCUGGUACCAACAGAAACCCGGACAACCUCCUAAGCUUCUCAUCUACUUGGCAAGCACCAAACACACAGGGACCCCAGACAGGUUCAGCGGCAGUGGGUCUGGUACUGACUUCACUCUCACAAUCAGCGGAGUGCAAGCAGAAGAUGCAGCAGAUUAUUACUGUCAGCAGCAUGGGUGGAAUCCUUGCACAGUGAUACAGAGCUGUACAAAAACCUUCCUUCCUCUUUUAUUUCAUUUGCAAAACUAUUGA